Molecule: unclassified non-coding RNA, 256 nt
Filed under: fungal sp.
Lineage: Eukaryota; Fungi
Description: partial internal transcribed spacer region
Rfam family: Eukaryotic small subunit ribosomal RNA (bases 1-46)
Source: RNAcentral
AAGUCGUAACAAGGUUUCCGUAGGUGAACCUGCGGAAGGAUCAUUAACAAAUUCCAAAACUCGUGUUUGGCUUGUCCGUCUCGAAUCUGAUUCUCUCAGGCUCUGGGGAAAUCUCUCUGGGGCUUGGGAAAGUUGGAGUAAGGGUCUAACAAGUCAGUUAACAACACAAACAAACACACUUUACAUUUAUUGACAACUAAUGGAGAACCUAAACGUUAAAUCGAAACAACUUUUAACAAUGGAUCUCUCGGCUCUU